GCGGCAGCUACACAUGCAGUCGAGCGCACCUUCGGGUGAGCGGCGGACGGGUUAGUAACGCGUGGGAAUAUGCCCUUCACUACGGAAUAGCCUUUGGAAACGAAGAGUAAUACCGUAUACGCCCUUCGGGGGAAAGAUUUAUCGGUGAAGGAUUAGCCCGCGUCUGAUUAGAUAGUUGGUGGGGUAACGGCCUACCAAGUCGACGAUCAGUAGCUGGUUUGAGAGGAUGACCAGCAACACUGGGACUGAGACACGGCCCAGACUCCUACGGGAGGCAGCAGUGGGGAAUCUUAGACAAUGGGCGAAAGCCUGAUCUAGCCAUGCCGCGUGAGUGACGAAGGCCCUAGGGUCGUAAAGCUCUUUCGCCAGGGAUGAUAAUGACAGUACCUGGUAAAGAAACCCCGGCUAACUCCGUGCCAGCAGCCGCGGUAAUACGGAGGGGGUUAGCGUUGUUCGGAAUUACUGGGCGUAAAGCGUACGUAGGCGGAUUGGAAAGUUAGAGGUGAAAUCCCAGGGCUCAACCCUGGAACUGCCUUUAAAACUAUCAGUCUAGAGUUCGAGAGAGGUGAGUGGAAUUCCAAGUGUAGAGGUGAAAUUCGUAGAUAUUUGGAGGAACACCAGUGGCGAAGGCGGCUCACUGGCUCGAUACUGACGCUGAGGUGCGAAAGUGUGGGGAGCAAACAGGAUUAGAUACCCUGGUAGUCCACACCGUAAACGAUGAAUGCCAGACGUCGGG
RNAcentral lists this ribosomal RNA (736 nucleotides) under uncultured bacterium. Its description in RNAcentral is "bacterial SSU rRNA". It matches the Rfam family "Bacterial small subunit ribosomal RNA", at positions 39 to 827 of the family's 1533-position model. The record is from RNAcentral.